Molecule: Y RNA, 102 nt
Filed under: Saimiri boliviensis boliviensis (Bolivian squirrel monkey)
Lineage: Eukaryota; Metazoa; Chordata; Mammalia; Primates; Cebidae
Description: Y RNA (ENSSBOG00000015408.1)
Rfam family: Y RNA
About the family: Y RNAs are components of the Ro ribonucleoprotein particle (Ro RNP), in association with Ro60 and La proteins. The Y RNAs and Ro60 and La proteins are well conserved, but the function of the Ro RNP is not known.
Source: Rfam by way of RNAcentral
GGCUGGUCCGAGAGCAGUGGUAUUUGCAGCUAAUUGAUCACAACCAGUUACAGAUUUCUUUGUUUCUUCUCCACGCCCACUUCUUCACUUGACUAGCUUUAA